This 437-nucleotide ribosomal RNA is filed under the name uncultured bacterium. RNAcentral's name for it is "bacterial SSU rRNA". It matches the Rfam family "Bacterial small subunit ribosomal RNA", at positions 29 to 506 of the family's 1533-position model. The record is from RNAcentral.
AUGAACGCUAGCGGUGUGGAUAAGGCAUGCAAGUCAAGGGGGUCCGCAAGGACAACCGGCGAACGAGUUAGUAACACGUAGAAACAUACCUCAGAGUCUCGCAUAGCCCGGAGAAAUCCGGGGUAAUUCGAGAUAGUCCCGCAAGGGUAAAGAUUUAUCGCUCUGAGAUUGGUCUGCGUCUUAUCAGCUAGUUGGUAGGGUAACGGCCUACCAAGGCUAUGACGGGUAGGGGGCAUGAGAGUGUGUUCCCCAACGAGGGCACUGAGACACGGGCCCUACUCCUACGGGAGGCAGCAGUCGAGAAUCUUCCACAAUGGGGGAAACCCUGAUGGAGCGACACCGCGUGCAUGAAGAAGUCCUUCGGGAUGUAAAGUGCUUUUUUGAGGGAAUAACCUUCGGGUGAAUGUACCUUGAGAAUAAGGGGAGGCUAAUCACGU